GAUUACCAUCACGAUGGAUGUACC
Molecule: non-coding RNA, 24 nt
Filed under: Arabidopsis thaliana (thale cress)
Lineage: Eukaryota; Viridiplantae; Streptophyta; Magnoliopsida; Brassicales; Brassicaceae
Source: RNAcentral